UAUGAGCUGCAACACUCACUGGGAAGGUC
This 29-nucleotide non-coding RNA is filed under the name Homo sapiens (human). The record is from RNAcentral. Lineage: Eukaryota; Metazoa; Chordata; Mammalia; Primates; Hominidae.